CCGACUUACAGACCCUAACAAAACACGCUUUUGAACUUCAGUCUCCUAACAAAGAUGGCUCGAGCUCUGAAUCUCCUUCUCACUGGCUGUCUGCUGCAAGGUGCCCUGUGUGGAAAAUUUAAGGUCUCAAUGCCAGAGACUAUAAAUGUUCUGAGUGGAUCCUGUGUGACCAUCCCCUGUUCCUUUGACAUAGAGGACAAAUGGAAAACAAACUUAGACAGAUCAUGUAGAGCUAUAUGGAAAAAUAAUGGUGUAUACAUAUUUGAUAGCAGCA
Molecule: long non-coding RNA, 274 nt
Organism: Scomber scombrus (Atlantic mackerel)
Lineage: Eukaryota; Metazoa; Chordata; Actinopteri; Scombriformes; Scombridae
Exons: 3
Source: RefSeq, a predicted model, not a curated record